AGGACGAACGCUGGCGGCGUGCUUAACACAUGCAAGUGGAGCGACGAACCAGGGCUUGCCCUGGGGCAGAGCCGCGAACGGGUGAGUAACACGUGGGUUACCUGCCUCGAUGACCGGGACAACCCGAGGAAACUCGGGCUAAUACCGGAUGUGCCCGCAAGGGGAAAGGAAGCUUCGGCCUCCGCAUCGAGAUGGGCCCGCGGCCCAUUAGCUUGUUGGUGAGGUAACGGCUCACCAAGGCUUCGAUGGGUAGCUGGUCUGAGAGGACGAUCAGCCACACUGGGACUGAGACACGGCCCAGACUCCUACGGGAGGCAGCAGUGGGGAAUCUUGCGCAAUGCGCGAAAGCGUGACGCAGCAACGCCGCGUGGGGGAAGAAGGCUUUCGGGUUGUAAACCCCUUUCAGUUGGGACGAAGCUUCGCCGGUGAAUAGCCGGCUGGAGUGACGGUACCUUCACAAGAAGCCCGGCUAACUACGUGCCAGCAGCCGC
Molecule: ribosomal RNA, 491 nt
Filed under: uncultured bacterium
Lineage: Bacteria
Description: SSU rRNA
Rfam family: Bacterial small subunit ribosomal RNA
Source: RNAcentral